GCCACAAGCGACGAUCCAUAGCCGACUGAGAGGUGACCGGCCACAUGGACUGAGACACGGCCCAAACUCUACGGAGGCAGCAGUGGGAAUAUUGCACAAUGGGGGAAACCUGAUGCAGCGACGCCGCGUGAGCGAAGAAGUAUUUCGGUAUGUAAAGCUCUAUCAGCAGGGAAGAAAAAUGACGGUACCUGACUAAGAAGCCCCGGCUAACUACGUGCCAGCAGCCGCGGUAAUACGUAGGGGGCAAGCGUUAUCCGGAUUUACUGGGUGUAAAGGGAGCGUAGACGGCUUUGCAAGUCUGAUGUGAAAGGCGGGGGCUCAACCCCUGGACUGCAUUGGAAACUGUGGGGCUUGAGUGCCGGAGAGGUAAGCGGAAUUCCUAGUGUAGCGGUGAAAUGCGUAGAUAUUAGGAGGAACACCAGUGGCGAAGGCGGCUUACUGGACGGUAAACUGACGUUGAGGCUCGAAAAAAGCGUGGGGAAGCAAACCAGGAUUAGAAUU
This 501-nucleotide ribosomal RNA is filed under the name uncultured Bacillota bacterium. RNAcentral's name for it is "bacterial SSU rRNA". It matches the Rfam family "Bacterial small subunit ribosomal RNA", at positions 266 to 785 of the family's 1533-position model. The record is from RNAcentral. Lineage: Bacteria; Bacillati; Bacillota.